Molecule: transfer RNA, 73 nt
Filed under: Caldimonas brevitalea
Lineage: Bacteria; Pseudomonadati; Pseudomonadota; Betaproteobacteria; Burkholderiales; Sphaerotilaceae
Description: [Polyangium] brachysporum tRNA
Rfam family: tRNA
About the family: Transfer RNA (tRNA) molecules are approximately 80 nucleotides in length.
Source: Rfam by way of RNAcentral
GGCCUGGUAGCUCAGUUGGUAGAGCAGAGGAUUGAAAAUCCUUGUGUCGGUGGUUCGAUUCCGCCCUAGGCCA